Non-coding RNA from Nicotiana tabacum (common tobacco), 1929 nucleotides. Lineage: Eukaryota; Viridiplantae; Streptophyta; Magnoliopsida; Solanales; Solanaceae. The record is from RefSeq and is a predicted model, not a curated record.
AAGAGUGACCUAUAAAGGCUUAGGUAUACUUGUGAUAUUGUUGGUUGUCCCUUUGUGUGCUUAAUAUCAAAAGAAAAGUUUGGUGGGGUUAAAAUCAAGACUUUAUCUUUUGAACAUGAUUGUGGCACUGCAUUUGAUAAUAAGACUGUUGAUUUUAGUACCAUUGCACAAUAUUUCAAGAGGAAGUUACAGGAUAAUCCUAAGUACAAGGUUAGGAAGAUGAUGUUAGAUUUGAAGAGAAACUUUGAGCUAAAUAUUAGUCAUGGGAAGUGAAAGAGGGCACAGAGGAUAGUAUUGGAGUCACUAGAUGGUAGUUUUCAGAUGAGUACAAUAAACUAGAGGCGUAUACCAAUAAAUUGAGGGAAAGUAACCCUGGCAGUGAUGUGGUUGUUACACUUUCAAAGAGUGCACUUGAAGAAGGAAGAAGAAGGUUCUUGAGAAUGUAUGUGUGUUUUCAUGCUUUGAAGAUGGGUUUCAAUCUAGGAUUGAGACCUUUUAUUGGUUCGGAUGGUACCUUUUUGAAGGGCAAAGCCAAAGGCCAAUUGUUAGCGGCAGUUGGACAGGAUUCACAGAUAUUUUUACCCUUUGGCAUGGGCAGUUGUUGAUAAGGAUAACAAAAAUACUUGGAAUUGGUUCCUACAGCUGCUACAAUCUUCUUUGGACCUCAAGGAAGGGGAAGGAAUCACCUGCAUGUCAGAUAUGCAAAUGGGACUGCUUGAUGCAGUCAAAACAGUCAUUCCCCAAGCACAUCACAAGUACUGUGUUAGACAUAUUGAAUCUAACUGGUGCAAACAGUACAAAACUGGGGAAAACAAGAAGCUUUUAUGGUGGUGUGCAUGGUGCACAUAUGCAGAAGAUUUCAAGGAUCAGCUAGGAAAAUUAGGUGAAUUGAACAAAGAUGCUGCAGAGGCUUUGUUGAGGUACCCACCCCAGUCCUGGUGUAGAGCAUAUAUAGACAUUGUAUGCAAGAAUCAGUCGGUUGAUAAUAACUUGACUGAAUCAUUCAACAAGUGGAUUGUGGAUGCAAGGCAUAAGCCUAUAAUCAAGAUGCUAUAGGACAUCAGAAUCAAGACCAUGAACUUGUUAAGAGAACAUGAAGAAGAAGUUAGGAGCUGGACAUAUGAUUUCAGUCCAAAAUGUAUGGACUUGUAUAAUGAGUGUGAAGUAAUUGCAAAUGGUCAAAAAUGGCUAUAAAGUAACAGAAGGAUCUGACAAGCAUUGUGUUAACUUGGCUGUGAAGAAGUGCACUUGCAGAGCAUGGGACCUUACAAGAAUCCCAUGUCCAUAUGCUAUUAGAGAUAUACUUCAUGACUCUGGUGAUCCAAUGAAUAAAAUCAACUAGUGGUAUAGCAAGGAGGCAUUUCUGCUGACUUAUAGGCACAAAAUACAGCCUGUCAGGGGAGAAAAGUUUUGGAAGAUUGAACCAUCUCAAGCAAUGGAGCCUCCAGAGCUUAUGAAAUUGGCUGGUAGACCUAAGGUUAAGAUAGAUAAGCAGAAGGAUGAGGCAAUUAAAAGACAAGGAGUGUGGUCACAGUCCAGAAAAGGAAGAAUCAUGACUUAUAGCAAAUGUGGAGAAACAACUCAUAAUGCAAGAACUUGUGGUCAGGGAAAGAAGCAAAGUAAGAGAGGAAGAGUUGAGCAGGCUGCUGCCACACCUGAGCAGGCUGUUGCCACAACUACUGGAGUUACUGUCUUCUUUGGUGAUGUAAUUACAGUUAUUUGGUGUUGUUUUAGUGAUGUAAUUACAGUUAUUUGGUAUUGUUUUACAUUAACUUCAAAGUAUUAAAUACUAGACAUGAAUAUUUUUAACUUGUCUUUUUUAACUAUUUUAAUCAAGGGAAAGAAGUAAAGUAAGAGGGAAGAGUUGAGCAGGCUGCUGCCACAACUACUGGAGUUAUUAUCUUCUUUGGUGAUGUAAUUACAAUUAUU